Molecule: long non-coding RNA, 1112 nt
Organism: Pongo pygmaeus (Bornean orangutan)
Lineage: Eukaryota; Metazoa; Chordata; Mammalia; Primates; Hominidae
Exons: 7
Source: RefSeq, a predicted model, not a curated record
CGCCUCUCCCUCCACACCUCCCUGCAAGCUGAGGGAGCUGGCUCUGGCCUUGGCCAGCCUAGAAAGGGGUUCGCACAGUGCAGCGGUGGGCUGAAGGGCUCCUCAAGUGCCGCCAAAGUGGUAGCCCAGGCAGAGGAGGCGCCCAGAGCCAGCGAGGGCUGGAGGACUGUCAGCACACUGUCACCUCUUACCACCAUGUGAAGAAGAGUUUCUCUCCGUCACCCAGGCUGGAGUGCAAUGGUGCAAUCUCGGCUCACUGCAACCUCUGCCUCCCAGGUUCAAGCGAUUCUUCUGCCUCAGCCUCCCAAGUAGCUGAGAUUACAGGUGCCAGAUGUGUGAGUGAAGAAGCCUUUGAGAAGACCCCAGCCACAGUCAUCAUUAGACUACAACCUCCUGAGAGUCUCCAGCCAGUCACCCAGCUGAACCGCUCUUGAAUUCUUCACCCAAAGAAAUCUGGCUCCGUGUACUAGAAGAAGGAAGAGAUAAAGUGAAGACAGAUAAUGUGCUGUGGCUUUCUGGAAUACCAUCAAGACUUUGAGAUAUUAAUGUUAUAAUGGAAUAAACUUGGAAUCCAGAGGUGUAGAUUCAAGUCCCAGAUCUCCAAUUUGUUGACAAAAAGGGCUCAUGAAAUAAAAAUCAGCUUUUUGCCAGCAGUGGUGGCUCAUGCCUGUAAUCCCAGAACGUUGGAAGGCCAAAGCAGGCAGACCACCUGAGGCCAGGAGUUCGAGACCAGCCCGUCCAACAUGGUGAGAAGACACAUAGAAGCAAUUAAAGGACCAAAAAGUGGAUCUUCUAGCAAUGGGGAGACAUUCUGAAUAGCUGUGAGUUGUGCACCUGUGUUUCCACCAGGACCCUGCCACAUGAGAUUAGGUGUGGGAUUUUCCACUUGUGGUGUCAUGCCGGCACUUGAACAUUUUCAAAUUUUGAACCAUUUCAGAUUUCGAAUGUUUGGAUUAGAGAUGCUCAACCUGUAUACAAUAUUGGAGAAAAAAAUAACAUUAGAGUAUAGAUCAUUAAUAAUGAUUUUCAUUAUAUUUUAGACCUGUUUAUAAUCCUUUACUGUCAAUUAAGAUGAUGUAAAAAUCCACUUUAAAUUGAAAGCGUGUGCAAAA